UACGUAGGGUGCGAGCGUUAAUCGGAAUUACUGGGCGUAAAGCGUGCGCAGGCGGUUUUGUAAGCCAGAUGUGAAAUCCCCGGGCUUAACCUGGGAAUGGCAUUUGGGACUGCAAGGCUCGAGUGCGGCAGAGGAGACUGGAAUUCCUGGUGUAGCAGUGAAAUGCGUAGAUAUCAGGAGGAACACCAGUGGCGAAGGCGACUACCUGGCCUGUUCUUGACGCUGAGGCGCGAAAGCUAGGGGAGCAAACGGG
RNAcentral lists this ribosomal RNA (253 nucleotides) under uncultured bacterium. Its description in RNAcentral is "partial 16S ribosomal RNA". It matches the Rfam family "Bacterial small subunit ribosomal RNA", at positions 524 to 776 of the family's 1533-position model. The record is from RNAcentral.